CUCUGCGCCACGGUGUGUGUUGUUAGGGCUAUAAUUCCAUUUACAGAUGGACAGCAUGGAAUAUUUUUCAGGGUGAAGGGGAAAUUUGGACACAGAGACACACACGGGGAGAAUGCCAUGUGAACUUGAAGAUGAGCUACGGAGAAAUGCCUGGAACAGAUUGUCCUUCACAGCUCUCAAAAGGAAGUGAACCUGCCGACACAUUGAUCUUGGACUUUCCAGCUUCCAGAUUUAUUCUGUCCAUGAUGGCUUCUCUGGUGGCUCGAGUCCAGUGUAAUCCCUCUGAUCCUGCCUCUGCAGGUUCACACUCCUGUGUAAUCCU
Molecule: long non-coding RNA, 322 nt
Organism: Suricata suricatta (meerkat)
Lineage: Eukaryota; Metazoa; Chordata; Mammalia; Carnivora; Herpestidae
Exons: 3
Source: RefSeq, a predicted model, not a curated record